CCGCGCCGGCGCAGCGGCGGGCGCGCACGGCGUCGCGCCUGGGCUCGGUGGCGAAACGGCCGGCAACCUGUCCGACCCGUCUUGAAACACGGACCAAGGAGUCUAACAUGUGCGCGAGUCGUUGGGCGCUACGAAACCCGAAGGCGCAAUGAAAGUGAAGGCCCGGUCUCCGGCCGGCCUGGGUGGGAUCCCGGCGGUCUCGGCCGUCGGGCGCACCACCGGCCCGUCUCGUUCGUUACGUCGAGGAGGCGGAGCAAGAGCGUACACGUUGGGACCCGAAAGAUGGUGAACUAUGCCCGAGUAGGACGAAGCCAGAGGAAACUCUGGUGGAGGUCCGCAGCGAUUCUGACGUGCAAAUCGAUCGUCAAACUUGGGUAUAGGGGCGAAAGACUAAUCGAACCAUAUAGUAGCUGGUUNCUGUCGAAGUUUCCCUCAGGAUAGCUGGCGCUCGUCGUGAGCAGUUUUAUCCGGUAAAGCGAAUGACUGGAGGCCUUGGG
RNAcentral lists this ribosomal RNA (497 nucleotides) under Eiseniella tetraedra. RNAcentral describes it as "partial large subunit ribosomal RNA". It matches the Rfam family "Eukaryotic large subunit ribosomal RNA", at positions 573 to 1034 of the family's 3401-position model. Lineage: Eukaryota; Metazoa; Annelida; Clitellata; Crassiclitellata; Lumbricidae. The record is from RNAcentral.